CGCUCUUCCGAUCUCUCAACGCCUCGGCCACCGUGGUGUACGACUACAGCAAGCUGCUGGUCGGCUACAGGUCCUGGCGUCGCCGCGCCUGCUACAUCACCCGCGUGGACAAGGACAACUUCCCGGGGCUGGACGCUGUCACCGAGACCUUCCAGCGGCGCCAGGGUGAGGAGCUUGGGGACAAGGCCGUGGCUCUGGCUGACCGCUCCAUCCUGGGCACCACCAUCAACAUCCUCUGCAGCGCCGUGCCCGUGUUCUGGGCCUAGGGACAGCGACGUGGGGGUGGCGCUGUCCCCCACGCUGCCUUUCAAGCGGGACACCGGGGAAUCUCCUCCUCCUCCUCCUCGUCCCCAUCCCGGGGACAGCCCGGCCCCCCCCCCCCCCCCCCCCCCCCCCCCCCCCCCCCCCCCCCCCCCCCCCCCCCCCCCCCCCCCCCCCCCCCCCCCCCCCCCCCCCCCC
RNAcentral lists this long non-coding RNA (459 nucleotides) under Ficedula albicollis (Collared flycatcher). RNAcentral describes it as "lncRNA (ENSFALG00000027222.1)". The record is from RNAcentral. Lineage: Eukaryota; Metazoa; Chordata; Aves; Passeriformes; Muscicapidae.